GCAGCUUAAUAGUUAUUGAAUCAAGUUGCACUUGAAGGCAUUGUUCUGUUCUUAAUGCUGCCUCUACAGCUGCUUGAUUAAUUUUUGUCCAGAACUGAGGCAGAGCUCAGGUAUUUUGUAGCAAUUUUAAACCAUUCUGAGGCAUGCAGGUGAUCAAGAGGAGAGUAAGCUUUAUGGCACAGCCUCUGGACUAGAACAGUCUUCUAUUUAGAAAGACCAUUUAAAAGAAACCUAGAGAUAUUCUGGGGGCAAGGUUCAUCUACCUUAACAUUUCACCAGAUAAACAAGGUUCCAAAGGACUACAACUGAUUUGAAGCAAUGAGGGAGGAAGACAAACUGUUCCAAAAAGAAGCUCAGAAUGAAACACAAGUUGUAUAGUUAAUGUACAUCAAGCUAAUGAGUACGAUUCAAG
This 412-nucleotide long non-coding RNA is filed under the name Parus major (Great Tit). RNAcentral's name for it is "lncRNA (ENSPMJG00000002261.1)". Lineage: Eukaryota; Metazoa; Chordata; Aves; Passeriformes; Paridae. The record is from RNAcentral.